RNAcentral lists this ribosomal RNA (253 nucleotides) under uncultured bacterium. RNAcentral's name for it is "partial 16S ribosomal RNA". It matches the Rfam family "Bacterial small subunit ribosomal RNA", at positions 524 to 776 of the family's 1533-position model. The record is from RNAcentral.
UACGUAGGGCGCGAGCGUUGUCCGGAUUUAUUGGGCGUAAAGAGCUCGUAGGCGGCUUGUUGCGUCGGCUGUGAAAACCCAUGGCUCAACCGUGGGCCUGCAGCCGAUACGGGCAGGCUAGAGUUCGGUAGGGGAGACUGGAAUUCCUGGUGUAGCGGUGAAAUGCGCAGAUAUCAGGAGGAACACCGGUGGCGAAGGCGGGUCUCUGGGCAGAUACUGACGCUGAGGAGCGAAAGCGUGGGGAGCGAACAGG